ACUCUGGAGAGUUCUGAAACAGACGCCGAAGGGGCAAGCCCGCAUAUGGGUGAAUCUCUCAGGCAAAAGGACAGAGGAU
RNAcentral lists this non-coding RNA (79 nucleotides) under uncultured Merdibacter sp. RNAcentral's name for it is "Glycine riboswitch". It matches the Rfam family "Glycine riboswitch aptamer", at positions 9 to 86 of the family's 94-position model. From Rfam's summary of the family: This family represents the bacterial glycine riboswitch. Lineage: Bacteria; Bacillati; Bacillota; Erysipelotrichia; Erysipelotrichales; Erysipelotrichaceae. The record is from RNAcentral.